GUUAUGGGUAACAAUUGGUUAGAGCGCUGAACUGCAAUUACAGGGCCGCAGGUUCGAUUCCUGCCAGGCA
Non-coding RNA from Paramuricea clavata, 70 nucleotides. NCBI's taxonomy places the organism in Eukaryota, Metazoa, Cnidaria, Anthozoa, Malacalcyonacea, Plexauridae. The record is from the annotation of a GenBank genome assembly.